Molecule: ribosomal RNA, 520 nt
Filed under: uncultured Glomus
Lineage: Eukaryota; Fungi; Glomeromycota; Glomeromycetes; Glomerales; Glomeraceae
Description: SSU rRNA
Rfam family: Eukaryotic small subunit ribosomal RNA
Source: RNAcentral
AGCAGCCGCGGUAAUUCCAGCUUCAAUAGCGUAUAUUAAAGUUGUUGCAGUUAAAAAGCUCGUAGUUGAAUUUCGGGAUCGAUACGUCGGUCGUGCCUUCGGUACGCACUGGCGUUUAUCGAUUUCUCCCUUCUGACGAACCAUGAUGUCAUUAAUUUGGUGUUAUGGGGAAUCAGGACUGUUACUUUGAAAAAAUUAGAGUGUUUAAAGCAGGCAUUAGCUUGAAUACAUUAGCAUGGAAUAAUGAAAUAGGACGUUCGAACCUAUUUUGUUGGUUUCUAGGAUCAACGUAAUGAUUAAUAGGGAUAGUUGGGGGCAUUAGUAUUCAAUUGUCAGAGGUGAAAUUCUUGGAUUUAUUGAAGACUAACUACUGCGAAAGCAUUUGCCAAGGAUGUUUUCAUUAAUCAAGAACGAAAGUUAGGGGAUCGAAGACGAUCAGAUACCGUCGUAGUCUUAACCAUAAACUAUGCCGACUAGGGAUCGGAUGAUGUUAAUUUUUUAAUGACUCAUUCGGCGCCUU